AGUGAACGCUGGCGGUAGGCCUAACACAUGCAAGUCGAACGGCAGCACAGUAAGAGCUUGCUCUUACGGGUGGCGAGUGGCGGACGGGUGUGGAAUACAUCGGAAUCUACUUUUUCGUGGGGGAUAACGUAGGGAAACUUACGCUAAUACCGCAUACGACCUACGGGUGAAAGCAGGGGAUCUUCGGACCUUGCGCGAUCGAAUGAGCCGAUGUCGGAUUAGCUAGUUGGCGGGGUAAAGGCCCACCAAGGCGACGAUCCGUAGCUGGUCUGAGAGGAUGAUCAGCCACACUGGAACUGAGACACGGUCCAGACUCCUACGGGAGGCAGCAGUGGGGAAUAUUGGACAAUGGGCGUAAGCCUGAUCCAGCCAUACCGCGUGGGUGAAGAAGGCCUUCGGGUUGUAAAGCCCUUUUGUUGGGAAAGAAAAGCAGCAGGUUAAUACCCCGCUGUUCUGACGGUACCCAAAGAAUAAGCACCGGCUAACUUCGUG
Molecule: ribosomal RNA, 492 nt
Filed under: uncultured bacterium
Lineage: Bacteria
Description: partial 16S ribosomal RNA
Rfam family: Bacterial small subunit ribosomal RNA
Source: RNAcentral